This 441-nucleotide ribosomal RNA is filed under the name uncultured bacterium. RNAcentral's name for it is "partial 16S ribosomal RNA". It matches the Rfam family "Bacterial small subunit ribosomal RNA", at positions 338 to 795 of the family's 1533-position model. The record is from RNAcentral.
CCUACGGGAGGCAGCAGUGGGGGAUAUUGCACAAUGGGGGAAACCCUGAUGCAGCGACGCCGCGUGGGUGAAGAAGUAUUUCGGUAUGUAAAGCCCUAUCAGCAGGGAAGAAAGAAGACGGUACCUGACUAAGAAGCCCCGGCUAACUACGUGCCAGCAGCCGCGGUAAUACGUAGGGGGCGAGCGUUAUCCGGAUUCACUGGGUGUAAAGGGAGCGUAGACGGCCGUGCAAGCCAGGAGUGAAAGCCCGGGGCCCAACCCCGGGACUGCUCUUGGAACUGUGCGGCUGGAGUGCGGGAGGGGCAGGCGGAAUGCCUGGUGUAGCGGUGAAAUGCGUAGAUAUCAGGAGGAACACCGGCGGCGAAGGCGGCCUGCUGGACCGCGACUGACGUCGAGGCUCGAAAGCGUGGGGAGCGAACAGGAUUAGAUACCCCAGUAGUC